RNAcentral lists this transfer RNA (83 nucleotides) under Lachnospiraceae bacterium. RNAcentral describes it as "tRNA-Leu". It matches the Rfam family "tRNA". From Rfam's summary of the family: Transfer RNA (tRNA) molecules are approximately 80 nucleotides in length. Their secondary structure includes four short double-helical elements and three loops (D, anti-codon, and T loops). The record is from RNAcentral. Lineage: Bacteria; Bacillati; Bacillota; Clostridia; Lachnospirales; Lachnospiraceae. RNAcentral also lists the same sequence under 1 other name.
GCCGCAAUGGCGGAAUGGCAGACGCAAUGGACUCAAAAUCCAUCGCCCUCAAAAGCGUGCGGGUUCAAGUCCCGCUUGCGGCA